GUGCUUGCUUCGGCAGCACGUAUACUAAAAUCGGAACGAUACAGAGAAGAUUAGCAUGGCCCCUGCACAAGGAUGACAUGCAAAUUCGUGAAGCGUUCCGUAUUUUU
This 107-nucleotide small nuclear RNA is filed under the name Monodon monoceros (narwhal). Lineage: Eukaryota; Metazoa; Chordata; Mammalia; Artiodactyla; Monodontidae. The record is from RNAcentral.